AUAUUAACUGAUGAUGUGAUGGAUUGCUUGGUUGCUUUUUUGACUCUAUUUAUGGCUUUCAAAUGCAAUUUGUAUAUGAAGAGUGUCUCGAGCUCUGCCUUGAGAAGAACAGUUGGAGUGGAGGAAGUUGUCCUGUCAUCCUCCUAUGGACGUCCUGCAUCAUAUAUUGAAGUACAAACAACGUGUAUCUUACUAUGAAUUUGUUAGCUUGGUGGUGAAGUCAGAGGAAGUCAAUGAACACUUGGGUGCAUUGCCCUGGAGAUUGACUUUCUGUGAAACUGGAGUGAUUUACAGUGCAGCAGCAAUUAUAUGUACAUUAUUUAGUCAAGAUUAUGCACUCAGUGGUGGAGGAAUUUUGAUAAUGUGCAGAUAUAGUAGUCUGGCCUUUUCAUC
Molecule: long non-coding RNA, 393 nt
Organism: Corticium candelabrum
Lineage: Eukaryota; Metazoa; Porifera; Homoscleromorpha; Homosclerophorida; Plakinidae
Exons: 3
Source: RefSeq, a predicted model, not a curated record